Molecule: small RNA, 148 nt
Filed under: Arabidopsis thaliana (thale cress)
Lineage: Eukaryota; Viridiplantae; Streptophyta; Magnoliopsida; Brassicales; Brassicaceae
Description: ATSL158140
Source: RNAcentral
GCAUCACCACGAUUUUCGAGAUCGUAGAGAUCUCUUCCCACCUCAAAUCUGAACCGUCGGAUGAGGCAUAAUCAAGAGGCGCGUCAUCUUGACUGUACACGUUAGCAACAAUUUUCCUCGAGUAUCUGCUCGAAAUCAUUUGGUUUAG